CCUACGGGUGGCAGCAGUGGGGAAUAUUGGACAAUGGGCGAAAGCCUGAUCCAGCCAUGCCGCGUGUGUGAAGAAGGCCUUCGGGUUGUAAAGCACUUUCAGUGGGGAAGAAAGCCUUGGGGCUAAUACCCUCGAGGAAGGACAUCACCCACAGAAGAAGCACCGGCUAACUCCGUGCCAGCAGCCGCGGUAAUACGGAGGGUGCGAGCGUUAAUCGGAAUUACUGGGCGUAAAGCGCGCGUAGGCGGUCUGAUAAGCCGGUUGUGAAAGCCCCGGGCUCAACCUGGGAACGGCAUCCGGAACUGUCAGGGUAGAGUGCAGGAGAGGAAGGUAGAAUUCCCGGUGUAGCGGUGAAAUGCGUAGAGAUCGGGAGGAAUACCAGUGGCGAAGGCGGCCUUCUGGACUGACACUGACGCUGAGGUGCGAAAGCGUGGGUAGCAAACAGGAUUAGAUACCCGGGUCGUC
RNAcentral lists this ribosomal RNA (465 nucleotides) under Vreelandella stevensii. Its description in RNAcentral is "partial 16S ribosomal RNA". It matches the Rfam family "Bacterial small subunit ribosomal RNA", at positions 338 to 795 of the family's 1533-position model. Lineage: Bacteria; Pseudomonadati; Pseudomonadota; Gammaproteobacteria; Oceanospirillales; Halomonadaceae. The record is from RNAcentral.